AACAAGGAUAAAAUGUAAAUGUUACAAUAUAACAACAAUAAUUUGCAACAUGUCCGGUGACGGGAUCGACUACCUUGAAUGUUGUUGGUAUUUCAUGUUAGGACGACAUCAUCGAGAUAUCAGUUGUGUCAACACGACACUUCGUUUGGCUGAUCAAGCAAUCAGCACGCGUGGAAUGCCAACAGUUCCGGAGGACACCACAAUUAAAGAAAACAGCACGCGUAGAAUGCCACCUGUUACAGAGCACACCACCAUUAAAG
Dreissena polymorpha is the source of this 260-nucleotide long non-coding RNA. RefSeq lists it as uncharacterized. Lineage: Eukaryota; Metazoa; Mollusca; Bivalvia; Myida; Dreissenidae. The transcript is spliced from 3 exons. The record is from RefSeq and is a predicted model, not a curated record.